This 484-nucleotide ribosomal RNA is filed under the name uncultured bacterium. RNAcentral describes it as "partial 16S ribosomal RNA". It matches the Rfam family "Bacterial small subunit ribosomal RNA", at positions 28 to 523 of the family's 1533-position model. The record is from RNAcentral.
GACGAACGCUGGCGGCGUGCUUAACACAUGCAAGUCGAACGGAAAGGCCCUGCUUUUGUGGGGUGCUCGAGUGGCGAACGGGUGAGUAACACGUGAGUAACCUGCCCUUGACUUUGGGAUAACUUCAGGAAACUGGGGCUAAUACCGGAUAGGAGCUCCUGCUGCAUGGUGGGGGUUGGAAAGUUUCGGCGGUUGGGGAUGGACUCGCGGCUUAUCAGCUUGUUGGUGGGGUAGUGGCUUACCAAGGCUUUGACGAGUAGCCGGCCUGAGAGGGCGACCGGCAACAUUGGGACUGAGAUACGGCCCAGACUCCUACGGGAGGCAGCAGUGGGGAAUAUUGCACAAUGGGCGGAAGCCUGAUGCAGCAACGCCGCGUGCGGGAUGACGGCCUUCGGGUUGUAAACCGCUUUCGCCUGUGACGAAGCGUGAGUGACGGUAAUGGGUAAAGAAGCACCGGCUAACUACGUGCCAGCAGCCGCAGUAA